UCGGAGGUACUCGAGUGGCGAACGGGUGAGUAACACGUGGGCAAUCUGCCCUGCACUUCGGGAUAAGCCUGGGAAACUGGGUCUAAUACCGGAUAGGACCUCAAGACGCAUGUCUUCUGGUGGAAAGCUUUUGCGGUGUGGGAUGGGCCCGCGGCCUAUCAGCUUGUUGGUGGGGUGACGGCCUACCAAGGCGACGACGGGUAGCCGGCCUGAGAGGGUGUCCGGCCACACUGGGACUGAGAUACGGCCCAGACUCCUACGGGAGGCAGCAGUGGGGAAUAUUGCACAAUGGGCGCAAGCCUGAUGCAGCGACGCCGCGUGGGGGGAUGACGGCCUUUCGGGUUGUAAACCUCUUUCACCAUCGACGAAGGUCCGGGUUUUCUCGGAUUGACGGUAGGUGGAGAAGAAGCACCGGCCAACUACGUGCCAGCAGCCGCGGUAAUACGUAGGGUGCGAGCGUUGUCCGGAAUUACUGGGCGUAAAGAGCUCGUAGGUGGUUUGUCGCGUUGUUCGUGAAAUCUCACGGCUUAACUGUGAGCGUGCGGGCGAUACGGGCAGACUAGAGUACUGCAGGGGAGACUGGAAUUCCUGGUGUAGCGGUGGAAUGCGCAGAUAUCAGGAGGAACACCGGUGGCGAAGGCGGGUCUCUGGGCAGUAACUGACGCUGAGGAGCGAAAGCGUGGGGAGCGAACAGGAUUAGAUACCCUGGUAGUCCACGCCGUAAACGGUGGGUACUAGGUGUGGGUUUCCUUCCUUGGGAUCCGUGCCGUAGCUAACGCAUUAAGUACCCCGCCUGGGGAGUACGGCCGCAAGGCUAAAACUCAAAGGAAUUGACGGGGGCCCGCACAAGCGGCGGAGCAUGUGGAUUAAUUCGAUGCAACGCGAAGAACCUUACCUGGGUUUGACAUGCACAGGACGCGUCUAGAGAUAGGCGUUCCCUUGUGGCCUGUGUGCAGGUGGUGCAUGGCUGUCGUCAGCUCGUGUCGUGAGAUGUUGGGUUAAGUCCCGCAACGAGCGCAACCCUUGUCUCAUGUUGCCAGCGGGUAAUGCCGGGGACUCGUGAGAGACUGCCGGGGUCAACUCGGAGGAAGGUGGGGAUGACGUCAAGUCAUCAUGCCCCUUAUGUCCAGGGCUUCACACAUGCUACAAUGGCCGGUACAAAGGGCUGCGAUGCCGUAAGGUUAAGCGAAUCCUUUUAAAGCCGGUCUCAGUUCGGAUUGGGGUCUGCAACUCGACCCCAUGAAGUCGGAGUCGCUAGUAAUCGCAGAUCAGCAACGCUGCGGUGAAUACGUUCCCGGGCCUUGUACACACCGCCCGUCACGUCAUGAAAGUCGGUAACACCCGAAGCCA
This 1350-nucleotide ribosomal RNA is filed under the name Mycobacterium sp. DWMJ-797A1. RNAcentral's name for it is "bacterial SSU rRNA". It matches the Rfam family "Bacterial small subunit ribosomal RNA", at positions 80 to 1429 of the family's 1533-position model. The record is from RNAcentral. Lineage: Bacteria; Bacillati; Actinomycetota; Actinomycetes; Mycobacteriales; Mycobacteriaceae.